UAGGGAAUCUUCCGCAAUGGACGCAAGUCUGACGGAGCAACGCCGCGUGAGUGAAGAAGGAUUUCGGUUCGUAAAACUCUGUUGUUAGAGAAGAACAGCGCAUAGAGUAACUGUUAUGCGUGUGACGGUAUCUAACCAGAAAGCCACGGCUAACUACGUGCCAGCAGCCGCGGUAAUACGUAGGUGGCAAGCGUUGUCCGGAUUUAUUGGGCGUAAAGCGAGCGCAGGCGGUCAAUUAAGUCUGAUGUGAAAGCCCCCGGCUCAACCGGGGAGGGUCAUUGGAGACUGGUUGACUUGAGUGCAGAAGAGGAGAGUGGAAUUCCAUGUGUAGCGGUGAAAUGCGUAGAUAUAUGGAGGAACACCAGUGGCGAAGGCGACUCUCUGGUCUGUAACUGACGCUGAGGUUCGAAAGCGUGGGUAGCAAACAGG
This 429-nucleotide ribosomal RNA is filed under the name Bacteroidota bacterium. RNAcentral describes it as "Bacteroidetes bacterium partial 16S ribosomal RNA". It matches the Rfam family "Bacterial small subunit ribosomal RNA", at positions 355 to 776 of the family's 1533-position model. Lineage: Bacteria; Pseudomonadati; Bacteroidota. The record is from RNAcentral.